ACAUCGCUGAGUUAGAACAGUAAAGAUGAGUUUAUAAUGCAAAGCAGAACAUAGGAACUCGUCCUUCGGGACAUCCGAUAAAAUUGGAACGAUACAGAGAAGAUUAGCAUGGCCCCUGCGCAAGGAUGACACGCAUAAAUCGAGAAAUGGGUUCAAGUGCUUUCUCAGUUUUAGGAUGACACCGCCUUGCCGCUUCAGACUAAAACUUGCAGAAACCUGCAACAAGCUUUGCUCCGUUGGCACUGCCAUAUGUAACGACGCUGCCUACGCCCCAAGUCCCUUUGUAUUCUAAACACCUACAAACAACUGCUGCUCCUUACCCAACCCCAGCACCUGCAGCUCUUUACACAUCUUCCGCCCACCUAGCUCCGUCUCUCUAGUCCUCGCACCUAUCUAAUUCAGUAGGGUAUCCACUAUCUCCAUCCUCUGCUUCACCUCCAGCUGCCUAUCCUCCCCAGACCUUACCCACCAGCAUCAGCUUAUCCUCCACCUCUAUAUUUGCCACCGCCACAAACCUCACCCUAUUAUCCUCCAGUCAGGUCCUCAUUCGGGAAUGUAUUCUCCACCGCCAUACUGAAAGGGUAUUGAAAGCUUGUGAUUACGGAAAUGAAAGACGUAGACAUCUAAAGUUGAAUCCUAGGUGUGGUUGUGUAUCCAGUUGGAGGUCAUUACCAAAAAAAAAAAAAAAAAAGUGAUUUCUUUCUGCAGUGAAUUGAAAAUUAGGCAAGGGGUAUAAAAUGAGAGUUUCAUUUGCUACUUGUCAAUUAGAAGGUUUCUUAACAGGCUUUGAUGGUUUUCCUAUUAAUCUAGAUAGAUAUUUUUUUCUUCCAAAAAGUCUUUUAUUUUCUCUCUUUCUCUGCCUAACCUCUUUUUACCUUUUUCCGUUGAGGCACAUGAUGUCUUGUGCUAAUGUUUGGGUUAGAAUAUAUGAUGACAAUUGCAGAUUGUAGUUAUUUAGAGGUAGCUAUAUGUAUUAUCUUAUAGCCUACAAUCUCUCACCUUUAGAGACAAGAUGAUCUUGUUAAAGGAUAGAAUGUCAUGUUGCUGGAGCUCAACUUGUUUGAAUCUCUUCAGUCCAAUACCACUUCCAUUCUCAUUCUUCCCAUUUGCUCUGAAGUUGUCCUGUUAGACCCCUUUGGUUCCUGGGUCUGCGCCAAGUUGUUUCAGUGUUCAGAAACAACAUUCUAUCUCAGUUGAAUCACAAAAGGCUAAAGUUUUAGUACAAAGGAACAGUUUCUCAAGCUUUUGAUGCUUAUGGUUCUUCAAGGCCAUGCACAUUUUGCCAAUGCGUGAUACUUCUUUGUCGGCUACAAUCCUUCUAUUAUACAAUGUCAGCUGUUUGUUACCCGGCCUGGCCCUGAAAAACUUAACUUAUUAGCACUAGAUGGUCUUGUAGGUUUUGAUUUUUGAAGGUCUUCUAAAAUGACCAAAUACAAGUUAUCAUAGAAGUAGAAGCUGGCUGCACAGGAAGCUUAGGCUGAGGCUGCCAGUAGGGUCUAGUUGUCACGCAUAAUGUUUCUAUCAGUACUUGUUCAUCUUCAAUAAUGAUCUUACAUCGCAUAUUGGAAGUGCAGCUCGUGACGGGUCCCAGAGGUUCUUCAUGUUUGGUGAAUGAAUGUAUAACUACAAUAAAAAAGAUGAGACAAAACUUUCUGUGGCUGCUGUAUAAUUAUCAAACAGGUGUGCUAGAAAGAUGACAUUUUGUGGAGUGUUUCAAUGAGAUUGUAAUAUAGUAUUCAAGCAUUAUUCAACUAAAAAGCUUUUGAGUA
Molecule: non-coding RNA, 1769 nt
Organism: Corylus avellana
Lineage: Eukaryota; Viridiplantae; Streptophyta; Magnoliopsida; Fagales; Betulaceae
Source: RefSeq, a predicted model, not a curated record